This is a long non-coding RNA of Caretta caretta (loggerhead turtle), 911 nucleotides long. RefSeq lists it as uncharacterized. The record is from RefSeq and is a predicted model, not a curated record. Lineage: Eukaryota; Metazoa; Chordata; Testudines; Cheloniidae.
AAAGGAGUGAAAUUACAUGUGAAAGUACAACUAAAGGACGCAGCAAAAGUGUCAGCUAUAAACUGAGAAGAUACUGCUACAAGCCUACAAACACUGAACAAAACUAGUUGACACUAUUUACAAGUGGCCAAACAAUACGAAUACUUGAACUCCACUUUGGGUUGUGCAUAUUGGGGAUGAGGAAGAUGAUGACGAGGAGGAGGUUGAAGAUAGGGCACAGCAAGCAAGCAGAGAAACCGUUUUCCCCGAGAGCCAGGAACUGUUUCUCACCCUGGACCUGGAGCCAGUACCCUCCAAACCCACCCAAGGCGAGCUCCCAGACCCACCAGGCGGAGAAGGGACCUCUGCUGCAAAUGUUUCAACGCUCACACUAUCAUCUCCUUCCCAGAAGGUAGUGAAGAUUAGAAGGUGAAAAAAAAGCACUCGCGAUGAAAUGUUCUCUGAGCUCAUGCAGUCCUCCCACACUGAAAGAGCCCAGCAGAAUGCGUGGAGGCAGACAAUGUUAGAGGCCAGGAAUGCACAAUAUGAAUGCGAGAACAGGUGGCGUGUUGAAGAUAAUAAGUGGCGGGCUGAAGAUGGUAGGUGGCAUCAGCUUGCUGACAGAAGGCAAGAGUCAAUGCUGAAGCUACUGGAGGAUCAAACAGAUAUGCUCCAGCAUAUGGUUGAGGCGCAGGAAAGGCAGCAUGAACACAGACCACCACUACAGCCCCUGUGUAACCAACCGCCUUCCUCCCCAAGUUCCAUAGCCUCCUCACUCAGACGCCCAAGAACACGGUGUGGGGGCCUCCAAGCACCCAGCCACUCCACCCCAGAGGACUGCCUAAGCAACAGAAGGCUGGCAUUCAAUAAGUUUUAAAGUGCAGCAUGGCCUUGUCCUUCCCUCCUCCCUCACCCCUCCCGGGCUACCUUGG